Molecule: non-coding RNA, 81 nt
Organism: Nicotiana sylvestris (wood tobacco)
Lineage: Eukaryota; Viridiplantae; Streptophyta; Magnoliopsida; Solanales; Solanaceae
Source: Rfam
UUAAGGUGUGAUGAUGCUUAUCCACCUUAUCUGUAGAGUUCAAUGAUGAAUUCUAAAACAUGCACUACCAACUGAUCUUAU